Molecule: long non-coding RNA, 898 nt
Organism: Rhipicephalus microplus (southern cattle tick)
Lineage: Eukaryota; Metazoa; Arthropoda; Arachnida; Ixodida; Ixodidae
Source: RefSeq, a predicted model, not a curated record
UAGGUGUUCUGCGGCGUCGGUUCGUGUCUUCACCGGGGCCGGGUGCUGCGUUCCAUAGAGUUUCCUAAAGUUUUAGAAAACUAUAUGCUGUGUUCCUCGUGAAAGUCUGGGAUGCUGCUUAGUGCUCGGAGAAUGCGAUCGGGGCAUCCAAGCUCGAGUUCUCCUGUCCUUGAAUUCUUGCGCAACCGACAUCAAGUUGUCUGCUGCUUUUGCUCGGUGUAAAUGUUAACGUGUGUUCGAUGAACGUGUUUUGUGAGGGCUGCGGAUCCACUGCGCAGUUUGCUCCAAAUGCUGCUGUAUGGGACCCCAGCCAAGAAUUGCUCAUCUCUCAGCUCAAAUAUGUCCAGAGUCGGGCUGCUCAUUUCAUCCUUUCUAACUAUCAUCGCACAUGAAAGCAAGCUUGUCAUUGCCUCUGCCAUUAGAGUGUGAAAAAAUGUUUCACCUCUGCCUGUUCCUCAAGAUAUAUUAUGAAAGAAUUAAAUUGAUAAUGCCUGCUUCGUACGCAUCUACCCGCAUCAACUAUCGUCAUAAGGUUGGUAUUGUACCAUUGCAUUCCUCUACAUCUUUAAGCAUCCUCUUAGUUUUCCUUUUUUGUUUGCCCCAAUAUUUUCACAUGUAUUCCUUGGUUCAUAAGCACGUGCUGGUGCUCCGUGUGCUAUUUCAUUUUGUAUCUUUACUGUGAAGCACCCUUAUUUUCACUUUGUAUUAUUUAAAAUGUUCUUGUCGUUUUAUACUGUGUGCUAUUUAUUGUCAGUUUUCUUCAUAAUUGAUUAUGUUUUCACCCUAGCUUUUUUCUAUUUUUUAUGAAAACAUGUUGUGCUGCGAAUGUAACCCUCUCCAUUCUGUGAUGUCCUCGAGCCCUGAGGGGAAAGAAAAUAAAUGAAUAAAUAAAUAGGCA